RNAcentral lists this non-coding RNA (29 nucleotides) under Mus musculus (house mouse). Lineage: Eukaryota; Metazoa; Chordata; Mammalia; Rodentia; Muridae. The record is from RNAcentral.
UNUUUUUGGUCCUCAAUGAUAAAGCCUGG